GGUGAACCGCGAGGUCACGAACACUUUUCGAAGUAAAACGGACCACAAGAUCUGGAGCAGUUGUGAACCCCGAGGUCACGAACACUUUUCGAAGUAAAACGGACCGCAAGAUCUGGAGCAGCUGUCAAGAAGAAUAAACAGAUUCUGUGAGUAUCCCAAUUGAACCAUGAAGAAGAAACUGCGAACUGUAAGUCCAGAUCUUUCCUUUUUGGGGCAUCAUUUUGGCCCCCUGUUUGGUCUGGUUGGUCAGGGUCGAUGGGUGAAGAUUGAUAUAGUUAAAACUUAAAGUAGUGCAGUAUAGGUUCUAAGUGAAUGGUGUACCACUAGUUGGAUCUUUAUGGGUAAAGCUAUAACAUACUACAGGGUUGUGUUCAGACUUUCUUCUGCCCACUUCGCCACUACUUCCCUGAACCUUGCAUCACUUUACGUGUGUGUUGUCUUACUGAUGCGGGUCUGGUCUGAGCGAUCAGAGAUGCAUGCUAGGGUACUGUGCUGUCUGAAGUCUACAGUUCUGUAGACGUGCCCUCUCAGGGGAAACCAAGUGUUUA
This is a long non-coding RNA of Gadus morhua (Atlantic cod), 548 nucleotides long. RefSeq lists it as uncharacterized. Lineage: Eukaryota; Metazoa; Chordata; Actinopteri; Gadiformes; Gadidae. The record is from RefSeq and is a predicted model, not a curated record. The transcript has 3 exons.